GUAAGUCAAUUAAUCUGCUUAUCUGAAUGUGCUUCUGCAGAAAUUUAGGAACAGCUGAC
RNAcentral lists this small nucleolar RNA (59 nucleotides) under Jaculus jaculus (lesser Egyptian jerboa). RNAcentral describes it as "Small nucleolar RNA SNORA33 (ENSJJAG00000006306.1)". The record is from RNAcentral. Lineage: Eukaryota; Metazoa; Chordata; Mammalia; Rodentia; Dipodidae.